ACGAAGGGUGCAAGCGUUACUCGGAAUUACUGGGCGUAAAGGGUGCGUAGGUGGUUUUUUAAGUCUGCUGUGAAAUCCCCGGGCUCAACCUGGGAAUGGCAGUGGAUACUGGAAAGCUGGAGUGCGGUAGAGGGUAGUGGAAUUCCCGGUGUAGCAGUGAAAUGCGUAGAUAUCAGGAGGAAUACCGAUGGCGAAGGCAGGUCUCUGGGCUGACACUGACGCUCAUGCACGAAAGCGUGGGGAGCAAACAGGA
This 253-nucleotide ribosomal RNA is filed under the name uncultured prokaryote. Its description in RNAcentral is "partial 16S ribosomal RNA". It matches the Rfam family "Bacterial small subunit ribosomal RNA", at positions 525 to 777 of the family's 1533-position model. The record is from RNAcentral.